CCGCCAUGCUGCUGCUUCUCAUUGUCAUCUUCCAAUCCCUUCUCGCCCCACCCCUCUCGACCACCCAUCCUUCGCCUCCGCCGCCCAAACCACAGAAAAGUAAGGAAGAGAUGGGGUUUUGAUGGUGGCGCCACCACCAUACAACCAAUCGAUGAUUUCGGCAAUGCUACCGACCUAUGCCAUCUCUGCCAUCACGCUGCUCCUUAUCAUCAUUGUCGCCUUCCAAUCCCUCCUUAAUCUUUCCCUAACCCAACCACUCCUAACCAAAUGAAGGCAAUUGAACUAAAGAAUGGCAAUUGGUAGAGAUGUGGUUCUAACAAUGGCGAUGCUGCCACCAUGACUAAUGGACGAUUCUGACAAUGUGGGUGAUCUACGCCCUCUUGGUUUUCAUCUUCCACUCACUCCUUGCAUCGCCCCUCCUCAAUCACCAUUCCUUCCCUCCUUAGGAGCUGGAUAGUUGAUAUGAAAAUAGGAGAUCUUAGAUUGAGGCAAAAGAUUAAUUAUUUUAUAGCGAAGUGGAAAAUAAGUUGUAGUGAUGAUUGUGGAGAGAAAAACAUUGUAGAGAGAAGGAUAGAAAGUGGAAAAUGUGUAAAAGAGAACUUGGACUUUUAUUACUUUCUCUCAAACUUCAUAGUUACAAAUGCGG
This 646-nucleotide long non-coding RNA is filed under the name Elaeis guineensis (African oil palm). RNAcentral describes it as "long non-coding RNA (EGUI_LNC017772)". Lineage: Eukaryota; Viridiplantae; Streptophyta; Magnoliopsida; Arecales; Arecaceae. The record is from RNAcentral.